RNAcentral lists this ribosomal RNA (245 nucleotides) under uncultured bacterium. RNAcentral describes it as "partial 16S ribosomal RNA". It matches the Rfam family "Bacterial small subunit ribosomal RNA", at positions 524 to 768 of the family's 1533-position model. The record is from RNAcentral.
UACGUAGGGAGCCAGCGUUGUCCGGAUUUACUGGGCGUAAAGAGCGCGUAGGCGGUCUAGUAAGCGGAGGGUGAAAUCCCGGGGCUCAACUCCGGGGCUGCUCUCCGAACUGUUAGACUAGAGUACGGGAGAGGACAGUGGAAUUCCUGGUGUAGCGGUGGAAUGCGUAAAUAUCAGGAGGAACACCCGUGGCGAAGGCUGCUGUCUGGAACGUUACUGACGCUGAGGCGCGAAAGCUAGGGGAG